Numida meleagris (helmeted guineafowl) is the source of this 778-nucleotide long non-coding RNA. RefSeq lists it as uncharacterized. NCBI's taxonomy places the organism in Eukaryota, Metazoa, Chordata, Aves, Galliformes, Numididae. The record is from RefSeq and is a predicted model, not a curated record. The transcript is spliced from 3 exons.
GAAGGGCGGGCGUUGCGGAGGGAGAGCCAAUCAGCGGCGCCGUCUCCUGAGCCAAUGGGCAAAUGGGCCGCCUACAACGGCCGGGCGCGCGCGGGGGUGUGGCUGUAGCGGCGGUUGUGUAACGGUGGUUCUCCAUAAUUGUUGCGUUGUGGGAGUGUUCGCUCUGUGUUUUGCCUGUUACCUCUCUGGAUUGCUUUUUUCACAUUCUUCACUCCCUACGUUGGGUGGCUGAAAGGUCUGUGGCAAUUUCACGGUGGAGAGCUCAGGAGUGGGGGGAGUCGUGAUGAAAGAAGGCUGCUAGGUUAAGGACACGGAGAGCGCUUGCUUAAUCCUGGAAAGAAUCCUGGACUGCAUCCUAUCUGGGAAGCAUCUUGGCAUCAUGAGUGGUUCAGCUCCGUGGAGUUUGUUCCUGAUGCUCCUGGAGAGGGGAGGCUCUGCAAAUUAGCGGGCAGAAAGCUGAGUGCAGGCAAGAUGGCUGGCUGCUGCUGGGAUUGCUGCAGCAAAAUGCAGGCCUACAGGGUCAGGUUUGCUGCCCUCCCAGGAACGUGUUGGCAUGACCAGUGUUGUGCAGGCCAAAGUCCAGGUGAGUCCUUCACCCUCUUUUUGGCAAACAGCCAUGCCUCCAGGUCCAGCCCUCCAGCCUGAUGCCCGGCUCAGCUGUGCCAAGUGCAGCUGCCACGAGGCAGGAGUUGCUUGAGCUCCUGCAUGGUGGUCUGCACUUAUUGUGCCAUUGCAUCAAAGCCUGUGCCUUUUCAUACAUUACAUCAUAUAAAAAGAA